This 305-nucleotide ribosomal RNA is filed under the name uncultured bacterium. RNAcentral describes it as "bacterial SSU rRNA". It matches the Rfam family "Bacterial small subunit ribosomal RNA", at positions 333 to 631 of the family's 1533-position model. The record is from RNAcentral.
CUAUUCCUACGGGGGGCAGCAGUAGGGAAUUUUCGUCAAUGGGCGCACGCCUGCCCGCUCCCUGCCUCUUUCCCUCUUCAGGUCUUCGGAUCGUAAAGUUCUGUUGAAGGGGAAAAAGAGCGGAGAGAGGAAAUGAACUCCGAUUGAUAUUACCCUUCGAGGAAGUCACGGCUAACUACGUGCCAGCAGCCGCGGUAAUACGUAGGUGGCGAGCGUUAUCCGGAAUGAUUGGGCGUAAAGGGUGCGUAGGCGGCCUGCUAAGUCUGGAGUGAAAGGUACCGGCUCAACCGGUACAGGCUCUGGAA